GCUCCUGUGGCCUAGUGGUGAGGGCAUCCCUCUUAUAAGGAAUCUGCUUAACUUCAAGCUUAGAAAUCUGGCAUAGGGAAGAUCGGGAGUUCGACCCUCUCCGGGAGCA
This is a transfer RNA of Wallemia sebi, 109 nucleotides long. It matches the Rfam family "tRNA". From Rfam's summary of the family: Transfer RNA (tRNA) molecules are approximately 80 nucleotides in length. Their secondary structure includes four short double-helical elements and three loops (D, anti-codon, and T loops). NCBI's taxonomy places the organism in Eukaryota, Fungi, Basidiomycota, Wallemiomycetes, Wallemiales, Wallemiaceae. The record is from Rfam.